GCCGGGCGUGGUGGUACACGCUUGUAAUCCCAGCAGCUUGGGAGGCUGAGGCAGGAGGACUGAUUGUUCAAAGCCAGCCACAGCAACUUAUCAAGGCCUUAAGCAACUCAGUGAGAUUCUAUCUCUA
This 127-nucleotide small RNA is filed under the name Marmota monax (woodchuck). Lineage: Eukaryota; Metazoa; Chordata; Mammalia; Rodentia; Sciuridae. The record is from RNAcentral.